AUGGCCGUCAACGAGGAAACGUCCGUCUACGUAGGCGGCCUGCCCUACGACGCCGACGAGGAUAUGCUCCGCAGCUACUUUGGGCCCUGCGGCACCAUCGUCUCCGUCAAGGUGAUAAAUGAUCAGAGAAUCAGGGGCAAGUGUUAUGGGUUUGUUACUUACACUCAACAUAGGGCUGCUCAGCGUGCUAUCUUGGAGAUGGAUGGCAAGCAAAUAGGUAAUCGUGCUGUGAGAGUAAAUGAAGUGCGUACAAGAGGCAACACCCGUGAUUUUGGGCGUGAUGGCUUCCGACGGGAUCCUGUAAGAGAUGGAAGGGAUGUAUACUGGGACCGAAGGGAUAGGGAGAGGAGUUAUGAUCGUCACCGGGAUAGAGAUCCUUACCAUGACAGGGAUAGUGAUAGACCUCGUGACCAUGACAGAGACAGAUAUGAUGAACGUGGGGGAUUUGAUCAUGAAAUGGACUAUUCCAUGGAUCGAGAUCAUGAAGGAGAUGAGAGGCGUGCUAGAGACCUUUAUCGAGGUGACCAUGAUCGUCCAGUGGAGACACGUAUGGACUCCGAUAAUGACAGAGACAAGGAAAAUUCAAAAGGCUAUGAUAGUGAAAGAGAUAAAGAAGACAAGGAACAGCCACCAAGGAAAAGCCGUCCAAAGGGUCGUGAGAGCAGAGAUAUAUCAAGUUCCAGUGAUGAGCUUCGGAAUGAUGCAAAACAUCAGCUGGACAAGGCCAUUCAGAUGCACGAGGACCUUGAAAAUGAGGUUUCUCAGAUUAGAGAUAAAGUUACAAGCAAAGAUCACCACAUUGCAGAUUUGCAAAAGAAAUCUCAGAAACUAGAGGAUGAAUUGGCUGCUGCGCGGAAAGUUUCUUCAGAGCGACAAUUGACUGUCACAAAGCUGUACAAAAGUUUUCUUCAACUUCAAGACUACAAUGACAGGGCCAAGACCGCAGAAGAGGAUCUCAAGGCUCUGGUUGAUUCUGCGAUGGCUGAGGUGGACAUGGCUGAAGACGCUACAACCAAAGACGGUUCAGGGUAUGAGAACGGCAUGGCCUGA
This 1050-nucleotide ribosomal RNA is filed under the name Triticum aestivum (bread wheat). RNAcentral describes it as "partial small subunit ribosomal RNA". Lineage: Eukaryota; Viridiplantae; Streptophyta; Magnoliopsida; Poales; Poaceae. The record is from RNAcentral.